Molecule: ribosomal RNA, 253 nt
Filed under: uncultured bacterium
Lineage: Bacteria
Description: partial 16S ribosomal RNA
Rfam family: Bacterial small subunit ribosomal RNA
Source: RNAcentral
UACGGAGGGAGCUAGCGUUGUUCGGAAUUACUGGGCGUAAAGCGCAUGUAGGCGGAUUAGUAAGUUAGAGGUGAAAUCCCAGGGCUCAACCCUGGAACUGCCUUUGAUACUGCUAGUCUUGAGUUCGAGAGAGGUGAGUGGAAUUCCGAGUGUAGAGGUGAAAUUCGUAGAUAUUCGGAGGAACACCAGUGGCGAAGGCGGCUCACUGGCUCGAUACUGACGCUGAGAUGCGAAAGCGUGGGGAGCAAACAGG